CGACGCUGGCGGCGCGUUUAAGCAUGCAAGUCGAGCGGCAAGGGCCUUCGGGCCCCUAGAGCGGCGGACGGGUGAGUAACACGUGGACAAUCUGCCCCCCGGCCCGGGAUAGCCCAGGGAAACCUGGAUUAAUACCGGAUGAGACGGGACCCGCGAUGGCGGGACCCGGGAAAGGCGCUGCGGCGCCGCCGGGGGAUGAGUCUGCGUCCCAUUAGCUAGACGGCGGGGUAACGGCCCACCGUGGCGACGAUGGGUAGCCGGCCUGAGAGGGUGGACGGCCACAUUGGAACUGAGACACGGUCCAGACUCCUACGGGAGGCAGCAGCUAAGAAUCUUCCGCAAUGGGCGAAAGCCUGACGGAGCGACGGCCCGCGUGAACGAAGAAGGCCGUGAGGUUGUAAAGUUCUUUUCGGGAGGGGGAACAACCGUGGCAGGGAAUGGCCGCGGGAUGACGUGAAUCCCGGAAUAAGCCCCGGCUAACUACGUGCCAGCAGCCGC
Molecule: ribosomal RNA, 498 nt
Filed under: uncultured bacterium
Lineage: Bacteria
Description: bacterial SSU rRNA
Rfam family: Bacterial small subunit ribosomal RNA
Source: RNAcentral